GACGAACGCUGGCGGCGUGCUUAACACAUGCAAGUCGAACGGAAAGGCCCUGCUUUUGUGGUGUGCUCGAGUGGCAAACGGGUGAAUAACACGUGAGUUACCUGCCCUUGACUUUGGUAUACCUUCAGGAAUCUGUGUCUAAUCCGGUAUAGGCCCUCCUUCUUCUGGUUGUUGGUUGGAAUGUUUCGUCGGUUGGGAAUGGACUGCCGGCUUAUUUGCUUGUUGGUGGGUUAGUGGCUUACCAAGCCUUGGGCGGGUGGCCGGCCAGGGUGGGUGACCGGCAAAAUGGGGACUGAGAUACGGCCAAGACUCCUCGGGGAGGAAGAAGUGGGGAAUAUUGAAAAAUGGGCGGAAGCCUGAGGCAGCAAGGCCGCGGGCGGGAUGACGGCCUUCGGGUUGUAAACCGCUUCCGCAGGUGACGAAGCGUGAGUGACGGUAAUGGGUAAAGAAGCACCGGCUAACUACGUG
RNAcentral lists this ribosomal RNA (468 nucleotides) under uncultured bacterium. RNAcentral's name for it is "partial 16S ribosomal RNA". It matches the Rfam family "Bacterial small subunit ribosomal RNA", at positions 28 to 507 of the family's 1533-position model. The record is from RNAcentral.